CGGGCAGAUGUCGAUUGGAGGUUGUGCCCUUGAGGCGUGGCUUCCGGAGCUAACGCGUUAAAUCGACCGCCUGGGGAGUACGGCCGCAAGGUUAAAACUCAAAUGAAUUGACGGGGGCCCGCACAAGCGGUGGAGCAUGUGGUUUAAUUCGAUGCAACGCGAAGAACCUUACCUGGUCUUGACAUCCACAGAACUUUCCAGAGAUGGUUUGGUGCCUUCGGGAACUGUGAGACAGGUGCUGCAUGGCUGUCGUCAGCUCGUGUUGUGAAAUGUUGGGUUAAGUCCCGCAACGAGCGCAACCCUUAUCCUUUGUUGCCAGCGGUCAGGCCGGGAACUCAAAGGAGACUGCCAGUGAUAAACUGGAGGAAGGUGGGGAUGACGUCAAGUCAUCAUGGCCCUUACGACCAGGGCUACACACGUGCUACAAUGGCGCAUACAAAGAGAAGCGACCUCGCGAGAGCAAGCGGACCUCAUAAAGUGCGUCGUAGUCCGGAUUGGAGUCUGCAACUCGACUCCAUGAAGUCGGAAUCGCUAGUAAUCGUAGAUCAGAAUGCUACGGUGAAUACGUUCCCGGGCCUUGUACACACCGCCCGUCACACCAUGGGAGUGGGUUGCAAAAGAAGUAGGUAGCUUAACCUUCGGGAGGGCGCUUACCACUUUGUGAUUCAUGACUGGGGUGAAGUCGUACAAAGGGGGAAACCAAA
This 704-nucleotide ribosomal RNA is filed under the name Enterobacter cloacae. RNAcentral's name for it is "bacterial SSU rRNA". It matches the Rfam family "Bacterial small subunit ribosomal RNA", at positions 796 to 1515 of the family's 1533-position model. The record is from RNAcentral. Lineage: Bacteria; Pseudomonadati; Pseudomonadota; Gammaproteobacteria; Enterobacterales; Enterobacteriaceae.